AGUGAACGCUGGCGGUAGGCCUAACACAUGCAAGUCGAACGGCAGCACAGUAAGAGCUUGCUCUUACGGGUGGCGAGUGGCGGACGGGUGAGGAAUACAUCGGAAUCUACUUUUUCGUGGGGGAUAACGUAGGGAAACUUACGCUAAUACAGCAUACGACCUACGGGUGAAAGCAGGGGAUCUUCGGACCUUGCGCGAUUGAAUGAGCCGAUGUCGGAUUAGCUAGUUGGCGGGGUAAAGGCCCACCAAGGCGACGAUCCGUAGCUGGUCUGAGAGGAUGAUCAGCCACACUGGAACUGAGACACGGUCCAGACUCCUACGGGAGGCAGCAGUGGGGAAUAUUGGACAAUGGGCGCAAGCCUGAUCCAGCCAUACCGCGUGGGGGAAGAAGGCCUUCGGGUUGUAAAGCCCUUUUGUUGGGAAAGAAAAGCAGCAGGUUAAUACCCCGCUGUUCUGACGGUACCCAAAGAAUAAGCACCGGCUAACUUCGUG
RNAcentral lists this ribosomal RNA (492 nucleotides) under uncultured bacterium. RNAcentral's name for it is "partial 16S ribosomal RNA". It matches the Rfam family "Bacterial small subunit ribosomal RNA", at positions 29 to 507 of the family's 1533-position model. The record is from RNAcentral.